AUUUUUGCAUAUGGAUCCUCCACUGCAAAUUACCAACGGUACAAGACGUGAAAAAAGAACCAACGGUCGUGGUUAUCGAUACGCUUUAACCUGUUGGAAGAAGUUCAUGAAAGCCGCUCGAAUUAAGAGAUGGAACAGGCUGCUGUCACACUUCUGAAUAAUGUUGAUCUUAAUGUUGAUGAUUACACCAUCAGAAUCCGCAUAGUCAGGCUAUGGACAAGACCUACUUUCAAUAAUCCUAGAAAGAUUUAUUGCUACGACAUGAUAUUCAUGGACCAGGAGGGUACGAAAAUGCAGGCCUUUGUUUUACAGAAAAACACUACUGGUUAUGAACAUUUGCUGAAAGAAAAUCAAUGUUUAACCAUUCGUAACCCUUCGAUGGGUGAAAAUCGUCAAAAAGUCAAAUAUGUUCAUA
Molecule: long non-coding RNA, 415 nt
Organism: Helianthus annuus (common sunflower)
Lineage: Eukaryota; Viridiplantae; Streptophyta; Magnoliopsida; Asterales; Asteraceae
Exons: 3
Source: RefSeq, a predicted model, not a curated record